This 460-nucleotide ribosomal RNA is filed under the name uncultured bacterium. Its description in RNAcentral is "bacterial SSU rRNA". It matches the Rfam family "Bacterial small subunit ribosomal RNA", at positions 494 to 953 of the family's 1533-position model. The record is from RNAcentral.
UGACUGACUGAGUGCCAGCCGCCGCGGUAAUACGUAGGCGGCAAGCGUUGUCCGGAAUUAUUGGGCGUAAAGGGAGCGCAGGCGGGAAGUUAAGCGGACUUUAAAAGUGCGGGGCUCAACCCCGUGAGGGGGUCCGAACUGACUUUCUUGAGUGCAGGAGAGGGAAGCGGAAUUCCUAGUGUAGCGGUGAAAUGCGUAGAUAUUAGGAAGAACACCAGUGGCGAAGGCGGCUUUCUGGACUGUAACUGACGCUGAGGCUCGAAAGCUAGGGUAGCGAACGGGAUUAGAUACCCCGGUAGUCCUAGCCGUAAACGAUGGAUACUAGGUGUGGGAGGUAUCGACCCCUUCCGUGCCGGAGUUAACGCAAUAAGUAUCCCGCCUGGGGAGUACGGCCGCAAGGUUGAAACUCAAAGGAAUUGACGGGGGCCCGCACAAGCGGUGGAGUAUGUGGUUUAAUUCG